This 444-nucleotide ribosomal RNA is filed under the name uncultured bacterium. RNAcentral describes it as "bacterial SSU rRNA". It matches the Rfam family "Bacterial small subunit ribosomal RNA", at positions 29 to 521 of the family's 1533-position model. The record is from RNAcentral.
AGCGAACGCUGGCGGCAGGCUUAACACAUGCAAGUCGAACGGCCCUUCGGGGCAGUGGCGGACGGGUGAGUAACACGUGGGAACGUGCCCUUAGGUUCGGAACAACACAGGGAAACUUGUGCUAAUACCGGAUGUGCCCUUUUGGGGAAAGAUUUAUCGCCUUUGGAGCGGCCCGCGUCUGAUUAGCUAGUUGGUGGGGUAAAGGCCUACCAAGGCGACGAUCAGUAGCUGGUCUGAGAGGAUGGCCAGCCACACUGGGACUGAGACACGGCCCAGACUCCUACGGGAGGCAGCAGUGGGGAAUCUUGCGCAAUGGGCGAAAGCCUGACGCAGCCAUGCCGCGUGGAUGAUGAAGGUCUUAGGAUUGUAAAAUCCUUUCAGCGGGACGAUAAUGACGGUACCCGCAGAAGAAGCCCCGGCUAACUUCGUGCCAGCCGCCGCUGU